This 466-nucleotide ribosomal RNA is filed under the name uncultured bacterium. RNAcentral's name for it is "partial 16S ribosomal RNA". It matches the Rfam family "Bacterial small subunit ribosomal RNA", at positions 28 to 507 of the family's 1533-position model. The record is from RNAcentral.
GACGAACGCUGGCGGCGUGCUUAACACAUGCAAGUCGAACGGAAAGGCCCUGCUUGCAGGGUACUCGAGUGGCGAACGGGUGAGUAACACGUGGGUGAUCUGCCCUGCACUUCGGGAUAAGCUUGGGAAACUGGGUCUAAUACCGGAUAGGAGCCAUCUUUAGUGUGGUGGUUGGAAAGUUUUUUCGGUGUAGGAUGAGCUCGCGGCCUAUCAGCUUGUUGGUGGGGUAAUGGCCUACCAAGGGGGCGACGGGUAGCCGGCCUGAGAGGGUGUACGGCCACAUUGGGACUGAGAGACGGCGCAGACUCCUACGGGGGGCAGCAAAGGGGAAUAUUGCACAAUGGGCGCAAGCCUGAUGCAGAGACGCCGCGUGGGGGAUGAAGGCCUUCGGGUUGUAAACUCCUUUCGCUAGGGACGAAGCUUUGUUGUGACGGUACCUAGAUAAGAAGCACCGGCUAACUACGUG